Molecule: ribosomal RNA, 466 nt
Filed under: uncultured bacterium
Lineage: Bacteria
Description: partial 16S ribosomal RNA
Rfam family: Bacterial small subunit ribosomal RNA
Source: RNAcentral
GAUGAACGCUGGCGGCGUGCUUAACACAUGCAAGUCGAACGAUGAAGCCCAGCUUGCUGGGUGGAUUAGUGGCGAACGGGUGAGUAACACGUGAGUAACCUGCCCUUGACUCUGGGAUAAGCCCGGGAAACUGGGUCUAAUACCGGAUAGGAGCGCCUGUCGCAUGACGGGUGUUGGAAAGAUUUUUCGGUCAUGGAUGGACUCGCGGCCUAUCAGCUUGUUGGUGAGGUAAUGGCUCACCAAGGCGACGACGGGUAGCCGGCCUGAGAGGGUGACCGGCCACACUGGGACUGAGACACGGCCCAGACUCCUACGGGAGGCAGCAGUGGGGAAUAUUGCACAAUGGGCGGAAGCCUGAUGCAGCGACGCCGCAUGAGGGAUGACGGCCUUCGGGUUGUAAACCUCUUUCAGUAGGGAAGAAGCGAAAGUGACGGUACCUGCAGAAGAAGCACCGGCUAACUACGUG